GGGUCCAAAUAUUUACUUUCAGGUUGAGAUGGCGACACCCUAGUAGAGGUCUGAGGAAACUGAAUUUGACUAGGGUGGAGCUGAUACCCACCUCGUACCAGCGUCGAGUAGUCGACUCGACAACAGGAUUGGGCUUUGGGCUUCGCAUACAGCAGUCGGUGGACAUUGAGAUAUUCAGACAAAGAUUCUUAAUUUCCUCCUUUACUACAUAUAUAUUUUAUUAUUAGGGUUGGGCAAAUCCAAACAGGAAGAUUGAGAUUGAGAUUGAGAUUGAGAUCAGAAAAUGGGAGGUGAAGCAGCAGCUGCUGGGGGAGUGUUCAAAUUUCUAAGCCCAAGGCUUCGUCCCCAAUCAACUGACAUCCAAGCCGCCGUCUGCUGGGGCGUCGCUUCCACCACCACCGCUCUUUGGCUCAUCCAGCCAUUUGAUUGGUUGAAGAAGACCUUUUUGGAGAAACCAAAGCCUGAGGAGGAGGAGACCAAGACUUGAAAAUUCUGGUACAACCUUUUGAUUGCCUGCUGGUGGAGUUCUGCUGCGAGAAUAUGGGAAAAAUGGAAACAUCCGAUUUUGAAUAAUGUAAUUUCCAGUUUUACCUAGUUAAUAUCGCUGUUUUAUGUUGAGCUUUU
Molecule: non-coding RNA, 624 nt
Organism: Corylus avellana
Lineage: Eukaryota; Viridiplantae; Streptophyta; Magnoliopsida; Fagales; Betulaceae
Source: RefSeq, a predicted model, not a curated record